This 1291-nucleotide long non-coding RNA is filed under the name Carica papaya (papaya). Its description in RNAcentral is "long non-coding RNA (CPAP_LNC006671)". The record is from RNAcentral. Lineage: Eukaryota; Viridiplantae; Streptophyta; Magnoliopsida; Brassicales; Caricaceae.
UCGGAUACACAUAUAUCAAUAAGUAGUUGAUGUGAUUAAGGGCCUACAAAGGGGUAGAAAUAAGGGAAAUAUGGAGAAUAAUAGGGUUAAAAGAUAAAUAACAUACCGUGGUGCUAGGGAAAUAGAAGGGAAGGGGAAGGGUCCCAAUAGAUGAAGUUUGAAAUAAACUAGAAGGAGAAUGUAGAAAGGGAAAUGAUAAAAUGGCAUAACUGAAAUCAAUGUACUAUCAAAAUCAAUAAAUUACAACCUGUUCACUAGUGGUGUGUGUGUGGCCAUUUAUGAGGUCGUGGAACUUAUUCUGGUAUGAGUUUAACAAUGAUUUUGCAUAUUUAUUGCUCAUAGAUGAACUGAAGAAUUUUCAGGUGACCCAUAUCAUUAAGUGACCAAAUCAUUAAAUGAGGGUGAUAAUAAAAUAGUAAUAAUGAUGAAUGGGUAUGAAAAGAGUUGAAUACAGAGUCGUGAAUGGACUGGGUAGUAGUGUGGUAUACUGAAAACAACAAAUGAUGAAAAACUAGAGAGUAAAUAUUAAAUAAGAUUAAACUGAGACUAAUCCACAUCUUUCUAUAUGCUGUUUCCUUUCGUGUGGUGUGAGUGUGGCCUGUAUUGGUUGUGGUGAUGUGUAUCAACUAACUAGUGAUUAGUCAGCAGAGUAAACCAGAUAAUAAAGGGUCCGAAGGGGAGUAAAUUUCCUAGAUGUGUGCUGUAUAUGAGACAAGAAGUGUGGUCGUGAAAUAAAGACCUGGAAGGGUCGUGUCGGGUAUGCUGAGUGCAAGCUGCGUGUGUUAUAAUCUGGUGUGACCAAUACAGAUAGAGAGAUAGAUUGGUGGAGCUGAGAGUGAAAUCUAGUGGAAGUAAAGUUAAAGGAUAAUAGAGAGAAAGGGUGUAACUAUGAAAAAGAAAAGCGAAGGAAUAAUUAGGUGAAUUAAGUCGCUAUGUUGAGUGAUCUUUUUGAUUUGUAUAUACUGUUUAUGUAUAUAUAUAUAUAAACUCCAUAUUGGAUGAGAAAGAAGAAUGCAGGUAAGCAGAAUAGUUCUGCAAAAUGGAUUAAAAUGCAAGUAUGUUAAAUGUGGGUCAUUUUGUUUAAUUUGCAUAAUCUGUUAUGGAGAUUGAAAUUACUUGAAAGUUAUUGGAAAAAAGAGAAAAAGAGAGGGAAUCUGCAAGAGAGAAAAAAAAAUCAAAAUUGACAAGUUACAGGUUGGAGUCGAAGCAGGGAAUUGCUUUUAUAAAUCUUCAUUAUAUAAGGGUACCAUGUUGGAGAAAUGAUAGGUGCUGGGAUGAGUAUGAGAUGGAC